GUGGGGAAUCUUGCGCAAUGGGCGAAAGCCUGACGCAGCAACGCCGCGUGCGGGAUGAAGGCCUUCGGGUUGUAAACCGCUUUCAGCAGGGACGAAAAUGACGGUACCUGCAGAAGAAGCUCCGGCUAACUACGUGCCAGCAGCCGCGGUAAUACGUAGGGAGCAAGCGUUGUCCGGAUUUAUUGGGCGUAAAGAGCUCGUAGGCGGUUUCGUAAGUCGAGUGUGAAAAAUCUGGGCUUAACCCAGUGGAGCACUCGAUACUGCGAUGACUUGAGUCUGGUAGAGGAGUGUGGAAUUCCUGGUGUAGCGGUGAAAUGCGCAGAUAUCAGGAGGAACACCAACGGCGAAGGCAGCACUCUGGGCCAGUACUGACGCUGAGGAGCGAAAGCGUGGGGAGCAAAAGGGAUUAGAAACCCGUGUAGUCC
RNAcentral lists this ribosomal RNA (425 nucleotides) under uncultured bacterium. Its description in RNAcentral is "partial 16S ribosomal RNA". It matches the Rfam family "Bacterial small subunit ribosomal RNA", at positions 354 to 796 of the family's 1533-position model. The record is from RNAcentral.